CGACGUAUGCAAUCUGCCUUUCACAAAGGGAUAGCCCAGAGAAAUUUGGAUUAAUACCUUAUAGUAUAUAGAUGGUGGCAUCACAAUUAUAUUAAAGAUUUAUCGGUGAAAGAUGAGCAUGCGUCCCAUUAGCUAGUUGGUAAGGUAACGGCUUACCAAGGCAACGAUGGGUAGGGGUCCUGAGAGGGAGAUCCCCCACACUGGUACUGAGACACGGACCAG
Molecule: ribosomal RNA, 222 nt
Filed under: uncultured bacterium
Lineage: Bacteria
Description: partial 16S ribosomal RNA
Rfam family: Bacterial small subunit ribosomal RNA
Source: RNAcentral